Molecule: ribosomal RNA, 251 nt
Filed under: uncultured bacterium
Lineage: Bacteria
Description: partial 16S ribosomal RNA
Rfam family: Bacterial small subunit ribosomal RNA
Source: RNAcentral
AGUCGAACGGAUCCUUCGGGAUUAGUGGCGCACGGGUGCGGAACACGUGGGAAUGUACCUCUUGGUAAGGGAUAACGUCUGGAAACGGACACUAAUACCUUAUAAUGACUUCGGUCCAAAGAUUUAUCGCCAAGAGAUCAGCCCGCGCCUGAUUAGUUUGUUGGUGAGGUAAUGGCUCACCAAGACUACGAUCAGUAGGGGGUCUGAGAGGAUGAUCCCCCACACUGGGACUGAGACACGGCCCAGACUCC